This 232-nucleotide ribosomal RNA is filed under the name uncultured bacterium. RNAcentral describes it as "partial 16S ribosomal RNA". It matches the Rfam family "Bacterial small subunit ribosomal RNA", at positions 118 to 348 of the family's 1533-position model. The record is from RNAcentral.
UGAGCAAUCUGCCCUUCUCAUCGGAAUAAGCGUUGGAAACGACGUCUAAUGCCGAAUACGACCUCCUUUCGCAUGAUCGGAGGUGGAAAGCUCCGGCGGUGAAGGAUGAGCUCGCGGCCUAUCAGCUUGUUGGUGAGGUAAUAGCUCACCAAGGCGAUGACGGGUAGCCGGCCUGAGAGGGUGACCGGCCACACGUGGGACUGAGACACGGGCCCGGACUCCCGUAGGGAGG